AGAGGCUUAGGAUAGCACCAGACCAAAGGCCUUCAAAGCCUUAAGCGAGAGUGAAAAUCUCUCAGCCUCUG
RNAcentral lists this transfer RNA (71 nucleotides) under Gymnogobius heptacanthus. Its description in RNAcentral is "tRNA-Trp". It matches the Rfam family "tRNA". From Rfam's summary of the family: Transfer RNA (tRNA) molecules are approximately 80 nucleotides in length. Their secondary structure includes four short double-helical elements and three loops (D, anti-codon, and T loops). Lineage: Eukaryota; Metazoa; Chordata; Actinopteri; Gobiiformes; Gobiidae. The record is from RNAcentral.